Molecule: ribosomal RNA, 253 nt
Filed under: uncultured bacterium
Lineage: Bacteria
Description: partial 16S ribosomal RNA
Rfam family: Bacterial small subunit ribosomal RNA
Source: RNAcentral
GACGUAGGGGGCCAGCGUUGUUCGGAAUUACUGGGUGUAAAGGGUUCGUAGGCGGUGUGGCAAGUCGGGAGUGAAAUUUCUGGGCUUAACUCAGAGACUGCUUCCGAAUCUGCUGUGCUUGAGUGUGGGAGAGGCGCGUGGAAUUGCAGGUGUAGCGGUGAAAUGCGUAGAUAUCUGCAGGAACACCCGUGGCGAAAGCGGCGCGCUGGACCACUACUGACGCUGAGGAACGAAAGCUAGGGGAGCAAACAGG